AGCAGCCGCGGUAAUUCCAGCUCCAAUAGCGUAUAUUAGUGUUGUUGCGGUUAAAAAGCUCGUAGUUGAAUUUCGGGAUUGGGAUAUAUCGGUCAUGCCUUUAGGGACAUGAAUCGGUGUGUGAUCAAUUCUCACCUUCUGGUGAAUUGGGAUGCUCUUGGGUGUUUCGAUGAACUAGGACAUUUACUUUGAAAAAAUUAGAGUGUUUAAAGCGGGCAUUUUUGCUUGAAUACAUUAGCAUGGAAUAAUAAAAUAGGACGAUGGUUCUAUUUUGUUGGUUUUAGGACCACGUAAUGAUUAAUAGGGAUAGUUGGGGGCAUUAGUAUUCAAUUGUCAGAGGUGAAAUUCUUGGAUUUAUUGAGGACUAACUACUGCGAAAGCAUUUGCCAAGGAUGUUUUCAUUAAUCAAGAACGAAAGUUAGGGGAUCGAAGACGAUUUAUGCACGUCGUAGUCUUAACCAUAAACUAUGCCGACUAGGAAUUAGACAAAGUUAAUUUUUUAACGACUUGUUUGGUACCUUACG
RNAcentral lists this ribosomal RNA (524 nucleotides) under uncultured Entrophosporaceae. RNAcentral's name for it is "SSU rRNA". It matches the Rfam family "Eukaryotic small subunit ribosomal RNA", at positions 569 to 1092 of the family's 1831-position model. Lineage: Eukaryota; Fungi; Glomeromycota; Glomeromycetes; Entrophosporales; Entrophosporaceae. The record is from RNAcentral.